GAAUAUUAUGAAAAUGAUAUACAGGUGGUACAUAACCCCAGUCAAGCUUGCAAAAAUCUACCAUUUGCCCGAUAACAAAUGUUGGAAAUGUAAAGAAACUGAAGGUACAUUCUUUCACCUUUGGUGGACGUGCCCAAGGAUUAAGGUUUUCUGGGAAAUGAUUUAUAAUGAAUUAAAAAGGUAUUUAAAUAUACCUUCUUGAAGAAACCAGAGGCCUUUCUCCUGGGCAUAGUCGGCCAAUCGGUGUUAAAGAAGGACAGAACUUUCUUUAUGUAUGCUACAACAGCAGCAAGAAUACUUAUUGCAAAGCAUUGGAAGACACAAGAUCUACCCACACUGGAGGAAUGGCAGAUGAAAAUGAUGGACUACAUGGAAUUGGCGGAAAUGACUGGCAGAAUCCGAGACCAGGGAGAAGAGUCGGUGGAAGAAGAUUGGAAG
Podarcis lilfordi (Lilford's wall lizard) is the source of this 438-nucleotide non-coding RNA. The record is from the annotation of a GenBank genome assembly. Lineage: Eukaryota; Metazoa; Chordata; Lepidosauria; Squamata; Lacertidae.